AUUGAACGCUGGCGGCAUGCCUAACACAUGCAAGUCGAACGGUAACGCAGAGAGCUUGCUCUUUGGCGACGAGUGGCAGACGGGUGAGUAACGCGUGGGUGACCUACCUUCGAGUCGGGGGACAACCCCUGGAAACCGGGGGCUAAUACCGCAUAACAUCCCGCUCUUGAACGAGCGGUGAUCAAAGCUGGGGAUCGCAAGACCUGGCGCUUGUUGAGGGGCCCGCGUCCGAUUAGCUUGUUGGUGGGGUAAUGGCUCACCAAGGCUCCGAUCGGUAGCCGGCCUGAGAGGGCGGACGGCCACACUGGGACUGAGACACGGCCCAGACUCUUACGGGAGGCAGCAGUAAGGAAUUGUUCGCAAUGGGCGAAAGCCUGACGACGCAACGCCGCGUGGAGGACGAAGAUCUUCGGGUCGUAAACUCCUGUCGAGCGGGACGAACAUCAUACGGGUUAAUACCCCGUGUGCCUGACGGUACCGCUAAAGGAAGCCCCGGCUAACUCCGUG
RNAcentral lists this ribosomal RNA (507 nucleotides) under uncultured bacterium. RNAcentral's name for it is "bacterial SSU rRNA". It matches the Rfam family "Bacterial small subunit ribosomal RNA", at positions 28 to 507 of the family's 1533-position model. The record is from RNAcentral.